RNAcentral lists this ribosomal RNA (480 nucleotides) under uncultured bacterium. Its description in RNAcentral is "bacterial SSU rRNA". It matches the Rfam family "Bacterial small subunit ribosomal RNA", at positions 29 to 506 of the family's 1533-position model. The record is from RNAcentral.
GUUAACGCUGGCGGCGUGCAUAACACAUGCAAGUCGAACGGGUUCGGGUCCGCCGCAAGGUGGAUGCGGACCAGUGGCAGACGAGUGAGUAACACGUAAGGAACCUGCCCUCAAAAGGGGGAUAACCCGCCGAAAGGCGGGCUAAUACCCCGUACGCUCAAGCGACGGCAUCGUCGUUUGAGGAAAGGCUUCGGCCGUUUGAGGAUGGCCUUGCGACCUAUCAGCUAGUUGGCGGGGUAACGGCCCACCAAGGCGAUGACGGGUACCCGGCCUGAAAGGGCGAACGGGCACGGAGGCACUGAGAUACGGGCCUCACUCCUACGGGAGGCAGCAGUGGGGAAUUUUGGACAAUGGGGGAAACCCUGAUCCAGCAACGCCGCGUGAGGGACGAAGGCUCGAGGGUCGUAAACCUCUUUUCUACGGGACGAAUACCCGCAAGGGUUUGACGGUACCGUAGGAAUAAGCCCCGGCUAAAUAUGU